RNAcentral lists this ribosomal RNA (170 nucleotides) under Geomelania typica. RNAcentral describes it as "partial 28S ribosomal RNA". It matches the Rfam family "Eukaryotic large subunit ribosomal RNA", at positions 1270 to 1428 of the family's 3401-position model. Lineage: Eukaryota; Metazoa; Mollusca; Gastropoda; Littorinimorpha; Truncatellidae. The record is from RNAcentral.
GCUAAGGAGUGUGAACAACUCACNUGCNGAAUCAACNGGCCCUGAAAAUGGAUGGCGCUGGAGCGUNCCACUUAUUCCGGACCGCUUGGGCAACCGACUCUUCGAGCCAAGCUCAAGCGAGUAGGAGGGCCGCUGUGGUGAGCGUCGAAGCCUGGGACGUGAGUCUGGGU